CCUACGGGAGGCAGCAGUGGGGAAUAUUGCACAAUGGGCGCAAGCCUGAUGCAGCCAUGCCGCGUGUGUGAAGAAGGCCUUCGGGUUGUAAAGCACUUUCAGCGGGGAGGAAGGCGUUAAGGUUAAUAACCUUGGCGAUUGACGUUACCCGCAGAAGAAGCACCGGCUAACUCCGGGCCAGCAGCCGCGGUAAUACGGAGGGUGCAAGCGUUAAUCGGAAUUACUGGGCGUAAAGCGCACGCAGGCGGUCUGUCAAGUCGGAUGUGAAAUCCCCGGGCUCAACCUGGGAACUGCAUUCGAAACUGGCAGGCUAGAGUCUUGUAGAGGGGGGUAGAAUUCCAGGUGUAGCGGUGAAAUUCGUAGAGAUCUGGAGGAAUACCGGUGGCGAAGGCGGCCCCCUGGACAAAUACUGACGCUCAGGUGCGAAAGCGUGGGGAGCAAACCGGAUUAGAUACCCUAGUAGUC
This 465-nucleotide ribosomal RNA is filed under the name uncultured Klebsiella sp. RNAcentral's name for it is "bacterial SSU rRNA". It matches the Rfam family "Bacterial small subunit ribosomal RNA", at positions 338 to 795 of the family's 1533-position model. The record is from RNAcentral. Lineage: Bacteria; Pseudomonadati; Pseudomonadota; Gammaproteobacteria; Enterobacterales; Enterobacteriaceae.